Molecule: ribosomal RNA, 101 nt
Filed under: uncultured bacterium
Lineage: Bacteria
Description: partial 16S ribosomal RNA
Rfam family: Bacterial small subunit ribosomal RNA
Source: RNAcentral
UACACACCGCCCGUCAAGCCACCUGAGUUGGGAGCACCCGAAGUCGUUCACUUAACCCGCAAGGGAGAGCAGCGCCUAAGGUGAGACCAAUAAGGAGGGCU